This 1435-nucleotide ribosomal RNA is filed under the name uncultured bacterium. Its description in RNAcentral is "bacterial SSU rRNA". It matches the Rfam family "Bacterial small subunit ribosomal RNA". The record is from RNAcentral.
AGAGUUUGAUCCUGGCUCAGGAUGAACGCCGGCGGUGUGCCUAAUACAUGCAAGUCGUACGCACUGGCCCAACUGAUUGAUGGUGCUUGCACCUGAUUGACGAUGGAUCACCAGUGAGUGGCGGACGGGUGAGUAACACGUAGGUAACCUGCCCCGGAGCGGGGGAUAACAUUUGGAAACAGAUGCUAAUACCGCAUAACAACAAAAGCCACAUGGCUUUUGUUUGAAAGAUGGCCUUGGCUAUCACUCUGGGAUGGACCUGCGGUGCAUUAGCUAGUUGGUAAGGUAACGGCUUACCAAGGCGAUGAUGCAUAGCCGAGUUGAGAGACUGAUCGGCCACAAUGGAACUGAGACACGGUCCAUACUCCUACGGGAGGCAGCAGUAGGGAAUCUUCCACAAUGGGCGCAAGCCUGAUGGAGCAACACCGCGUGAGUGAAGAAGGGUUUCGGCUCGUAAAGCUCUGUUGUUGGAGAAGAACGUGCGUGAGAGUAACUGUUCACGCAGUGACGGUAUCCAACCAGAAAGUCACGGCUAACUACGUGCCAGCAGCCGCGGUAAUACGUAGGUGGCAAGCGUUAUCCGGAUUUAUUGGGCGUAAAGCGAGCGCAGGCGGUUGCUUAGGUCUGAUGUGAAAGCCUUCGGCUUAACCGAAGAAGUGCAUCGGAAACCGGGCGACUUGAGUGCAGAAGAGGACAGUGGAACUCCAUGUGUAGCGGUGGAAUGCGUAGAUAUAUGGAAGAACACCAGUGGCGAAGGCGGCUGCCUGGUCUGCAACUGACGCUGAGGCUCGAAAGCAUGGGUAGCGAACAGGAUUAGAUACCCUGGUAGUCCAUACCGUAAACGAUGAGUGCUAGGUGUUGGAGGGUUUCCCGCCCUUCAGUGCCGGAGCUAACGCAUUAAGCACUCCGCCUGGGGAGUACGACCGCAAGGUUGAAACUCAAAGGAAUUGACGGGGGCCCGCACAAGCGGUGGAGCAUGUGGUUUAAUUCGAAGCUACGCGAAGAACCUUACCAGGUCUUGACAUCUUGCGCUAACCUUAGAGAUAAGGCGUUCCCUUCGGGGACGCAAUGACAGGUGGUGCAUGGUCGUCGUCAGCUCGUGUCGUGAGAUGUUGGGUUAAGUCCCGCAACGAGCGCAACCCUUGUUACUAGUUGCCAGCAUUAAGUUGGGCACUCUAGUGAGACUGCCGGUGACAAACCGGAGGAAGGUGGGGACGACGUCAGAUCAUCAUGCCCCUUAUGACCUGGGCUACACACGUGCUACAAUGGACGGUACAACGAGUCGCAAGCUCGCGAGAGUAAGCUAAUCUCUUAAAGCCGUUCUCAGUUCGGACUGUAGGCUGCAACUCGCCUACACGAAGUCGGAAUCGCUAGUAAUCGCGGAUCAGCAUGCCGCGGUGAAUACGUUCCCGGGCCUUGCACACACCGCCCGUCA